GCACCCGUAGCUCAGCUGGAUAGAGCGUUAGACUCCGGCUCUAAAGGUCGCAGGUUCGAUUCCUGUCGGGUGUACCA
This 77-nucleotide transfer RNA is filed under the name Clostridiales bacterium. RNAcentral's name for it is "tRNA-Arg". It matches the Rfam family "tRNA". Rfam says of the family: Transfer RNA (tRNA) molecules are approximately 80 nucleotides in length. Their secondary structure includes four short double-helical elements and three loops (D, anti-codon, and T loops). The record is from RNAcentral. Lineage: Bacteria; Bacillati; Bacillota; Clostridia; Eubacteriales.